UGCAGCUCGCACCAGCUGCAAAACGAUGCGACGCAUGAGCUCCUACUAGCCUCCCUUUGACAGACCUCCCACUGGAGACUUCCGGAGUUCCCAGAGUGCAACAACGGAGGUGACCACGGAUAGCAGCUCGCACGGCUGCAGAUCGACGCAAUGCCAACGCAAUCAACAGCUCCAGUCAUAGCCUCCAACGUAGGGACUCAGGUGACAAGCAAUUGGCAACACAAAUAUUUGAUCGUGCUUGAUUGUGAAGAACUUGAUUAGCUAGCGACAUGUGCUUAUUGGAUUUCACAGUGGAGGAAAAACAUUUCUUUUACAGCAUCUUCAUCUUACAUGUCAUAGCAGCUCCUAGCAAGUCGACAUUACCUCCACUGCCAACAAGGUGUUCGACAAAAUGCCAAGCUCCCAGGUGUAUAGCAUACUUACUUUGUGAAGUGAGGAUAAUAUUGGAGCUUACUAUUUUUUUGAAGCCAUAUUGGAGCUUACUAUUAGUGGAUGGCAACUUAUGUCAACUUGAUUGUUUCGAGUGUUUACACUUGUGGACGAUGGAAAACCAAUACGAAAAAGGUGCAAGACGAGCAAGAAGACCUAUUUGUAUCAAAAACAAGAAAGCAAAAAGAAAAAUAUAUAAAAGAAUCAAGAGCAACGUCUUCAAUACAAAAUUUACUAAUGAUGUAAAUUCUACUUGCUAUUUGAUUUUUAUACAAUAUUUAGGAAACUGAUACUGUUAUAUCAAUCAAUUAAUCCUGGGUUCUUUUUGUUAGGUCCACAUAUAAUGCACAACUCUAAUCUUCAAAGGCUCCUCUUGCAUUGAAUUAUUCGAAGAAUUCUCAUGAUUUUCUAUGAAGCAACCUCUUCAAUUGUGAAAUUUUAUUUGUGUGACCAGGGAUGAAAGAUUAAAAAUGAAUCUAUCAAAAGUGGUAUGCUAAGUAGUAUAUCUAUAUCUGAAACUCUUGUAUGCUCCAACUAUUUAAUCAGCAACUGAAUAUCCACUGCAAGAUUGUAAGUACAUAAAUAAGCAUAAUAUGCUUGUACCCCAUCACAAAGUGGCACACUUGCCCAUCAGUGAGCGAGAGCGACAGAGGGAAGGGUGUG
Panicum virgatum (switchgrass) is the source of this 1092-nucleotide long non-coding RNA. RefSeq lists it as uncharacterized. The record is from RefSeq and is a predicted model, not a curated record. Lineage: Eukaryota; Viridiplantae; Streptophyta; Magnoliopsida; Poales; Poaceae. The transcript is spliced from 4 exons.